CGGACGGGUGAGUAAUGCCUGGGAAAUUGCCCAGUCGAGGGGGAUAACAGUUGGAAACGACUGCUAAUACCGCAUACGCCCUACGGGGGAAAGCAGGGGACCUUCGGGCCUUGCGCGAUUGGAUAUGCCCAGGUGGGAUUAGCUAGUUGGUGAGGUAAUGGCUCACCAAGGCGACGAUCCCUAGCUGGUCUGAGAGGAUGAUCAGCCACACUGGAACUGAGACACGGUCCAG
This 232-nucleotide ribosomal RNA is filed under the name uncultured bacterium. RNAcentral's name for it is "partial 16S ribosomal RNA". It matches the Rfam family "Bacterial small subunit ribosomal RNA", at positions 99 to 334 of the family's 1533-position model. The record is from RNAcentral.